UGUGCCUACAACCCGUCAGAGCCCUCGAUUUUUUUGUGGGGUGUGGCGUGCCUUUUGAAGAAUGAGCCUGCGAGUCAGGGACAUGUCGCGAGGUUAACCCGUGUGGGGUAGCCGCAGCGAAAGCGAGUCUGAAUAGGGCGUAUCACGUCAACAGUGGCGUGUGUAGUGGUGUGUUCUGGACCCGAAGCGGAGUGAUCUACCCAUGGCCAGGGUGAAGCGCGGGUAAGACCGCGUGGAGG
This 239-nucleotide ribosomal RNA is filed under the name Mycolicibacterium flavescens. RNAcentral's name for it is "partial 23S ribosomal RNA". It matches the Rfam family "Bacterial large subunit ribosomal RNA", at positions 559 to 772 of the family's 2925-position model. Lineage: Bacteria; Bacillati; Actinomycetota; Actinomycetes; Mycobacteriales; Mycobacteriaceae. The record is from RNAcentral.